This 253-nucleotide ribosomal RNA is filed under the name uncultured bacterium. RNAcentral describes it as "partial 16S ribosomal RNA". It matches the Rfam family "Bacterial small subunit ribosomal RNA", at positions 524 to 776 of the family's 1533-position model. The record is from RNAcentral.
GACGUAGGGCGCGAGCGUUGUCCGGAUUUAUUGGGCGUAAAGGGCGCGUAGGCGGCUUGUCGCGUCGUCCGUGAAAACCUGUGGCUCAACUGCAGGCUUGCGGUCGAUACGGGCAGGCUAGAGUUCGGUAGGGGAGACUGGAAUUCCUGGUGUAGCGGUGAAAUGCACAGAUAUCAGGAGGAACACCGGUGGCGAAGGCGGGUCUCUGGGCCGAUACUGACGCUGAGGAGCGAAAGCGUGGGGAGCGAACAGG